RNAcentral lists this ribosomal RNA (481 nucleotides) under uncultured bacterium. Its description in RNAcentral is "bacterial SSU rRNA". It matches the Rfam family "Bacterial small subunit ribosomal RNA", at positions 28 to 533 of the family's 1533-position model. The record is from RNAcentral.
GAUGAACGCUGGCGGCGUGCCUAACACAUGCAAGUCGAGCGAUUCUCUUCGGAGAAGAGCGGCGGACGGGUGAGUAACGCGUGGGUAACCUGCCCUGUACACACGGAUAACAUACCGAAAGGUAUGCUAAUACGAGAUAAUAUGCUUUUAUCGCAUGGUAGAAGUAUCAAAGCUUUUGCGGUACAGGAUGGACCCGCGUCUGAUUAGCUAGUUGGUAAGGUAAUGGCUUACCAAGGCGACGAUCAGUAGCCGACCUGAGAGGGUGAUCGGCCACAUUGGAACUGAGACACGGUCCAAACUCCUACGGGAGGCAGCAGUGGGGAAUAUUGCACAAUGGGCGAAAGCCUGAUGCAGCAACGCCGCGUGAGCGACGAAGGCCUUCGGGUCGUAAAGCUCUGUUCUUGGGGACGAAUAAAUGACGGUACCCAAGGAGAAAGCCCCGGCUAACUACGUGCCAGCAGCCGCGGUAAGAGUGUGUGUA